UACAGAGGUCUCAACCGUUGUUCGGAAUCAUUGGGCGUAAAGCGCGUGUAGGCGGUCUUCUAAGUCUGAUGUGAAAGCCCGGAGCUUAACUUCGGAACUGCAUUGGAUACCGGAAGACUAGAGGAUGGAAGAGGAUGGUGGAAUUCCUGGUGUAGGGGUGAAAUCCGUAGAGAUCAGGAGGAACAUCAGUGGCGAAGGCGGCCAUCUGGUCCAUAUCUGACGCUGAGACGCGAAAGCGUGGGGAGCAAACAGG
RNAcentral lists this ribosomal RNA (253 nucleotides) under uncultured bacterium. RNAcentral's name for it is "partial 16S ribosomal RNA". It matches the Rfam family "Bacterial small subunit ribosomal RNA", at positions 524 to 776 of the family's 1533-position model. The record is from RNAcentral.